Molecule: long non-coding RNA, 1059 nt
Organism: Marmota monax (woodchuck)
Lineage: Eukaryota; Metazoa; Chordata; Mammalia; Rodentia; Sciuridae
Exons: 2
Source: RefSeq, a predicted model, not a curated record
UUCCAUGAUGAGAACUCCUCUCACACCACAGGGACCCAGGGCUAUUUCUCUGUUCUAUUUUCUCCAACUGUAGAAGACCUCUGAUGUCCCUGGGCUCACAAGGCAGGCCCCACCCUCCCUCAUUCUCCCCACCCAGCACCCACCAGGGCAUUUGCAUGCUGCUCCCUGGGGAGGGCCUUCCUGCAAGGCUGACAUAAAGCUCAGCUCUAACCUGCCCUUCACUCACCAGGACUCCUCAGCUCAGCUUCUCAAAAUGAGGCUCCCUGCUCAGCUCCUGGGGCUGCUGCUGCUCUGGAUCCCUGGAACCAGUGGGGACAUUGUGAUGACCCAGACUCCUCUCUCCGAGCCCAUCACCCCUGGACAGUCAGUGUCCAUCUCCUGCAGGUCCAGUCAGAGCCUCCUACACAGUAAUGGAAUCACAUAUUUGCACUGGGUUGUGCACAAGCCUGGCCAGGCUCCACAGGGCCUAAUAUAUAGGGUUUCCAACCGGUUCACUGGGGUCCCAGACAGGUUCAGAGGCAGUGGGUCAGUGACAGAUUUUACACUGACAAUCAGCAGGGUGGAGCCUGAUGAUGCUGGAAUAUAUUACUGUCAUCAAGGUAUAGAGUUACCUCCCACAGUGGUGUAGCCCCGAACAAAAACCUCCCUGCCUGGGUGGCCCAGCUGCCACAUGAGCUGCUGGUCUGGGGAGCAGCUCAGCAGAUUCACUGACCUCUGAGAGGAAGGUGCUGGGAACUCAGGGAACAAGUGCAGCUGAGGGCUGUGGACCAUGACUGCGUGGGCCACAGCUCAGGCCACACCCAUGAGUGGCCCUGUCACCUGCAGCAGCCUGACCUGGCAUGUGGAGGUCAACACAGAAGUGUCCAGAGACCCUCUGAAUGAGCAGACAGGAUCAACGUGGACACUGCAGAGGGAGCAGGACCUGGGCCCUGGGAAGGACGUGGCCAAAAAGCUGUUCUGUGUGAAAUUCAGAUUCAAACCUAAUAAAACAAACAAACAAAUGAAACAGAAAAAUGACUUUGCCUGCAAUAACUAAUAAAAGGAACUUCAUGAAAUUGA